This 53-nucleotide transfer RNA is filed under the name Bromelia agavifolia. RNAcentral describes it as "partial tRNA-Phe". It matches the Rfam family "tRNA", at positions 1 to 51 of the family's 71-position model. Rfam says of the family: Transfer RNA (tRNA) molecules are approximately 80 nucleotides in length. Their secondary structure includes four short double-helical elements and three loops (D, anti-codon, and T loops). The record is from RNAcentral. Lineage: Eukaryota; Viridiplantae; Streptophyta; Magnoliopsida; Poales; Bromeliaceae.
GUCGGGAUAGCUCANUUGGUAGAGCANAGGACUGAAAAUCCUCGUGUCACCAG